Molecule: long non-coding RNA, 243 nt
Organism: Lepidothrix coronata (blue-crowned manakin)
Lineage: Eukaryota; Metazoa; Chordata; Aves; Passeriformes; Pipridae
Exons: 3
Source: RefSeq, a predicted model, not a curated record
CAUGGAUUUCACGGGGUUUGACCUGUGUGAGAUAAUUGCAAGUGCUAUGCAGGCUGCUUGCUCUGUCUUGACUAAAACAAGUACAGGUUUCUUCCUGUGUUGAAACAGUUCCUGCCCCCCCUUCACGUCAGAAAUGAUCCCUGCAGCUGGCCAGCACAGAUUGCUGCUGCCACAGCUGGCUGAGGUGGUGUGCGCUGCUAUCGCUGCCAGUCAGAGCAAACGAGGUUUGGCAAACUACAGCAC